GGUCAGCUUGAGUGCAGGAGAGGAAAGCGGAAUUUCCUAGUGUAGCGGUGAAAUGCGUAGAUAUUAGGAGGAACACCCGUGGCGAAGGCGGCUUUCUGGACUGUAACUGACGCUGAGCACGAAAGCGUGGGAAGCAAACAGGAUUAGAUACCCUGGUAGUCCACGCUGUAAACGAUGAAUACUAGGUGUCGGGGGACAAAGCCCGGUGCCGCAGCUAACGCAUUAAGUAUUCCGCCUGGGGAGUACGGUCGCAAGACUGAAACUCAAAGGAAUUGACGGGGACCCGCACUAGCAGCGGAGCAUGUGGUUUAAUUCGAAGCAACGCGAAGAGCCUUACCAGGUCUUGACAUCCCUCUGAAUGGCGCUUAGCAGCGCAGGUCUUUCGGGACAGAGGAGACAGGUGGUGCAUGGUUGUCGUCAGCUCGUGUCGUGAGAUGUUGGGUUAAGUCCCGCAACGAGCGCAACCCUUGCCUUUAGUUGCCAGCACAUCAUGGUGGGCACUCUAGAGGGACUGCCGGUGACAAACCGGAGGAAGGUGGGGAUGACCUCAAAUCAUCAUGCCCCUUAUGAUCUGGGCUACACACGUGCUACAAUGGCCGGUACAACGAGAAGCGAAACCGCGAGGUGAAGCAAAUCUUUUAAAGC
Molecule: ribosomal RNA, 645 nt
Filed under: uncultured bacterium
Lineage: Bacteria
Description: bacterial SSU rRNA
Rfam family: Bacterial small subunit ribosomal RNA
Source: RNAcentral